AUAGAUGGAAAGCAGGCGCUGCCCUCACCGACCUGGCCUCGGUAGCAGGAGUGUGUUUUUGUGUGGACAACUGCAGUUGGGCCCAGGUCCAGCCUUGCUGACGGCUACUCACUUGGGCCUCCACCCACUGAUGAAUUUUGGGGGCAGAGCCAAGCCCCAAGAUAUGUUGGCUGGCAGCCUGGGGCCAGGCAGGGCUGCUGUUGUGGGAGCCCAGUCCCAGGGACUCUGUUCAGAGUGGAGCCUCCUUACUCUACAGCUCGCUGGUAAGCCCUGGUGGCCCAUCAGCCCACAGAAGGGGGCACUCACUCAGUGUGCAUCGGGCAGCGGCCAGCAACCUGCCUCUCACCCACCUGGCCCUUCUGGGAGGACCGGGACUUCCUGGGGUCAGAUUGGAAUGUACGUCCAAAAUAAGAGUGAAUGGGGAUUUGCUGAUUAUUAAAACAAUUUUGUUUGCGUGCA
Molecule: long non-coding RNA, 459 nt
Organism: Homo sapiens (human)
Lineage: Eukaryota; Metazoa; Chordata; Mammalia; Primates; Hominidae
Gene: MIR365BHG
Product: MIR365B and MIR4725 host gene
Source: Ensembl